UUAAGCGACUAAGCGUACACGGUGGAUGCCCUGGCAGUCAGAGGCGAUGAAGGACGUGCUAAUCUGCGAAAAGCGUCGGUAAGGUGAUAUGAACCGUUAUAACCGGCGAUGUCCGAAUGGGGAAACCCAGUGCAAUUCGUUGCACUAUCGUUAACUGAAUACAUAGGUUAACGAGGCGAACCGGGGGAACUGAAACAUCUAAGUACCCCGAGGAAAAGAAAUCAACCGAGAUUCCCCCAGUAGCGGCGAGCGAACGGGGAGCAGCCCAGAGUCUGAAUCAGCUUGUGUGUUAGUGGAACGGUCUGGAAAGUCCGACGGUACAGGGUGAUAGUCCCGUACACCAAAAUGCACAGGCUGUGAACUCGAAGAGUAGGGCGGGACACGUGGUAUCCUGUCUGAAUAUGGGGGGACCAUCCUCCAAGGCUAAAUACUCCUGACUGACCGAUAGUGAACCAGUACCGUGAGGGAAAGGCGAAAAGAACCCCGGCGAGGGGAGUGAAAAAGAACCUGAAACCGUGUACGUACAAGCAGUGGGAGCACCUUCGGGUGUGACUGCGUACCUUUUGUAUAAUGGGUCAGCGACUUAUAUUCUGUAGCAAGGUUAACCGUAUAGGGGAGCCGCAGGGAAACCGAGUCUUAACUGGGCGUUAAGUUGCAGGGUAUAGACCCGAAACCCGGUGAUCUAGCCAUGGGCAGGUUGAAGGUUGGGUAACACUAACUGGAGGACCGAACCGACUAAUGUUGAAAAAUUAGCGGAUGACUUGUGGCUGGGGGUGAAAGGCCAAUCAAACCGGGAGAUAGCUGGUUCUCCCCGAAAGCUAUUUAGGUAGCGCCUCGUGAAUUCAUCUUCGGGGGUAGAGCACUGUUUCGGCUAGGGGGUCAUCCCGACUUACCAACCCGAUGCAAACUACGAAUACCGAAGAAUGUUAUCACGGGAGACACACGGCGGGUGCUAACGUCCGUCGUGAAGAGGGAAACAACCCAGACCGCCAGCUAAGGUCCCAAAGUCAUGGUUAAGUGGGAAACGAUGUGGGAAGGCACAGACAGCCAGGAUGUUGGCUUAGAAGCAGCCAUCAUUUAAAGAAAGCGUAAUAGCUCACUGGUCGAGUCGGCCUGCGCGGAAGAUGUAACGGGGCUAAACCAUGCACCGAAGCUGCGGCAGCGACACUAUGUGUUGUUGGGUAGGGGAGCGUUCUGUAAGCCUGCGAAGGUGACCUGUGAGGGUUGCUGGAGGUAUCAGAAGUGCGAAUGCUGACAUAAGUAACGAUAAAGCGGGUGAAAAGCCCGCUCGCCGGAAGACCAAGGGUUCCUGUCCAACGUUAAUCGGGGCAGGGUGAGUCGACCCCUAAGGCGAGGCCGAAAGGCGUAGUCGAUGGGAAACAGGUUAAUAUUCCUGUACUUGGUGUUACUGCGAAGGGGGGACGGAGAAGGCUAUGUUAGCCGGGCGACGGUUGUCCCGGUUUAAGCAUGUAGGCUGGUUAUCCAGGCAAAUCCGGAUAAUCAAGGCUGAGGUGUGAUGACGAGGCACUACGGUGAUGAAGUAACAAAUGCCCUGCUUCCAGGAAAAGCCUCUAAGCAUCAGGUAACAUCAAAUCGUACCCCAAACCGACACAGGUGGUCAGGUAGAGAAUACCAAGGCGCUUGAGAGAACUCGGGUGAAGGAACUAGGCAAAAUGGUGCCGUAACUUCGGGAGAAGGCACGCUGGUGUGUAGGUGAAGCCCCUGCGGGUGGAGCUGAGACCAGUCGAAGAUACCAGCUGGCUGCAACUGUUUAUUAAAAACACAGCACUGUGCAAACACGAAAGUGGACGUAUACGGUGUGACGCCUGCCCGGUGCCGGAAGGUUAAUUGAUGGGGUUAUCCGUAAGGAGAAGCUCUUGAUCGAAGCCCCGGUAAACGGCGGCCGUAACUAUAACGGUCCUAAGGUAGCGAAAUUCCUUGUCGGGUAAGUUCCGACCUGCACGAAUGGCGUAAUGAUGGCCAGGCUGUCUCCACCCGAGACUCAGUGAAAUUGAACUCGCUGUGAAGAUGCAGUGUACCCGCGGCAAGACGGAAAGACCCCGUGAACCUUUACUAUAGCUUGACACUGAACAUUGAGCCUUGAUGUGUAGGAUAGGUGGGAGGCUUUGAAGCGUGGACGCCAGUCUGCGUGGAGCCAACCUUGAAAUACCACCCUUUAAUGUUUGAUGUUCUAACGUUGGCCCCUGACCGGGGUUGCGGACAGUGUCUGGUGGGUAGUUUGACUGGGGCGGUCUCCUCCCAAAGCGUAACGGAGGAGCACGAAGGUUAGCUAAUCCUGGUCGGACAUCAGGAGGUUAGUGCAAUGGCAUAAGCUAGCUUGACUGCGAGCGUGACGGCGCGAGCAGGUGCGAAAGCAGGUCAUAGUGAUCCGGUGGUUCUGAAUGGAAGGGCCAUCGCUCAACGGAUAAAAGGUACUCCGGGGAUAACAGGCUGAUACCGCCCAAGAGUUCAUAUCGACGGCGGUGUUUGGCACCUCGAUGUCGGCUCAUCACAUCCUGGGGCUGAAGUAGGUCCCAAGGGUAUGGCUGUUCGCCAUUUAAAGUGGUACGCGAGCUGGGUUUAGAACGUCGUGAGACAGUUCGGUCCCUAUCUGCCGUGGGCGCUGGAGAAUUGAGGGGGGCUGCUCCUAGUACGAGAGGACCGGAGUGGACGCAUCACUGGUGUUCGGGUUGUCAUGCCAAUGGCACUGCCCGGUAGCUAAAUGCGGAAGAGAUAAGUGCUGAAAGCAUCUAAGCACGAAACUUGCCCCGAGAUGAGUUCUCCCUGAGACUUUAAGUCUCCUGAAGGAACGUUGAAGACGACGACGUUGAUAGGCCGGGUGUGUAAGCGCAGCGAUGCGUUGAGCUAACCGGUACUAAUGAACCGUGAGGCUUAACCUU
This 2900-nucleotide ribosomal RNA is filed under the name Klebsiella pneumoniae. RNAcentral's name for it is "23S ribosomal RNA". It matches the Rfam family "Bacterial large subunit ribosomal RNA". The record is from RNAcentral. Lineage: Bacteria; Pseudomonadati; Pseudomonadota; Gammaproteobacteria; Enterobacterales; Enterobacteriaceae.